RNAcentral lists this signal recognition particle RNA (86 nucleotides) under Streptococcus ovuberis. RNAcentral's name for it is "Bacterial small signal recognition particle RNA". It matches the Rfam family "Bacterial small signal recognition particle RNA". Rfam says of the family: The signal recognition particle (SRP) is a universally conserved ribonucleoprotein involved in the co-translational targeting of proteins to membranes. Archaeal SRP consists of a 7S RNA and homologues of the eukaryotic SRP19 and SRP54 proteins. Lineage: Bacteria; Bacillati; Bacillota; Bacilli; Lactobacillales; Streptococcaceae. The record is from Rfam by way of RNAcentral.
AUUCUGGAGCAACAUCUUUGCGUGAAGCGGGUCAGGGGAGGAAUCCAGCAGCCCUAAGCGAAGUAAGGUGUGUGCUCUUUUUGUAU